AUGAGUUCAGUCAGUAGCAGCAGUGUUCUCCAUUCAGAGCCCUUUGCCCUUCAUUGCAGACUUUAAUUACUCAAUAUAGUUCGGAAAGCUAACAGUUAACGUUAAUGCUAACGCGAAGAGGUAGCAAGUGUUAGCUUAUUGCGUAACGUUAGUGUACUAAACAAGACACUUUUGUGGCGUGAAUAUCCUAAAAAUCUCCUUAUUACAAAGUGAGCAAAGUGGGAACAAUUAAUUUAUUCACGAGGGCCUCAGUCUUAAAUACAAACUCGACAAUGAGUUUGAGUUGAUUUUUGUGGUGGGUUUUCAAAAGAUCCUGACGCUGACGUAUGUGGACAAGUUCAUAGAUAGUCAUUUUUGACCCAUGUCUGCAUAAGAACUGUACAUAC
Molecule: long non-coding RNA, 386 nt
Organism: Micropterus salmoides (largemouth bass)
Lineage: Eukaryota; Metazoa; Chordata; Actinopteri; Centrarchiformes; Centrarchidae
Exons: 3
Source: RefSeq, a predicted model, not a curated record